AUUGAACGCUGGCGGAAUGCUUUACACAUGCAAGUCGAACGGCAGCACGGACUUCGGUCUGGUGGCGAGUGGCGAACGGGUGAGUAAUGUAUCGGAACGUGCCCAGUCGUGGGGGAUAACGUAGUGAAAAUUACGCUAAUACCGCAUACGAUCUAUGGAUGAAAGCGGGGGAUCGCAAGACCUCGUGCGACUGGAGCGGCCGAUAUCAGAUUAGGUAGUUGGUGGGGUAAAGGCCCACCAAGCCAACGAUCUGUAGCUGGUCUGAGAGGACGACCAGCCACACUGGAACUGAGACACGGUCCAGACUCCUACGGGAGGCAGCAGUGGGGAAUUUUGGACAAUGGGCGAAAGCCUGAUCCAGCCAUUCCGCGUGCAGGAUGAAGGCCCUCGGGUUGUAAACUGCUUUUGUACAGAACGAAAAGGUUUCUACUAAUACUAGGAGCUCAUGACGGUACUGUAAGAAUAAGCACCGGCUAACUACGUGCCAGCCGCCGCGGUAA
This 500-nucleotide ribosomal RNA is filed under the name uncultured bacterium. Its description in RNAcentral is "partial 16S ribosomal RNA". It matches the Rfam family "Bacterial small subunit ribosomal RNA", at positions 30 to 523 of the family's 1533-position model. The record is from RNAcentral.